UGCAGUCGACGAAGUCUUCGGACUUUAGUGGCGGACGGGUGAGUAACGCGUGAGAAUCUGCCUAUAGGUUGGGGACAACAGAUGGAAACGUCUGCUAAUACCCAAUGUGCCGAGAGGUGAAAGCUUUAGUGCCUGUAGAUGAGCUCGCGUCCGAUUAGCUAGUUGGUUAGGUAAGAGCUGACCAAGGCGACGAUCGGUAGCUGGUCUGAGAGGAUGAUCAGCCACACUGGGACUGAGACACGGCCCAGACUCCUACGGGAGGCAGCAGUGGGGAAUUUUCCGCAAUGGGCGAAAGCCUGACGGAGCAAUACCGCGUGCGGGACGAAGGCUUUUGGGUCGUAAACCGCUUUUGUUAGGGAAGAAGAACUGACGGUACCUAACGAAUCAGCAUCGGCUAACUCCGUGCCAGCAGCCGCGGUAAUACGGAGGAUGCAAGCGUUAUCCGGAUUUAUUGGGCGUAAAGCGUCCGCAGGUGGUUUAUCAAGUCUGCUGUUAAAGCGUGGGGCUUAACCCCAUAUAGGCAGUGGAAACUGAGAGACUAGAGUACGGUAGGGGUAGCGGGAAUUCCCAGUGUAGCGGUGAAAUGCGUAGAUAUUGGGAAGAACACCAGCGGCGAAGGCGCGCUACUGGGCCGAAACUGACACUCAUGGACGAAAGCUAGGGGAGCGAAAGGGAUUAGAUACCCCUGUAGUCCUAGCUGUAAACGAUGACAACUAGGUGUUGCGCGUAUCGACCCGGUGCAGUGCCGUAGCUAACGCGUUAAGUUGUCCGCCUGGGGGAGUACGCACGCAGGUGUGAAACUCAAAGGAAUUGACGGGG
RNAcentral lists this ribosomal RNA (819 nucleotides) under uncultured cyanobacterium. Its description in RNAcentral is "bacterial SSU rRNA". It matches the Rfam family "Bacterial small subunit ribosomal RNA", at positions 56 to 918 of the family's 1533-position model. Lineage: Bacteria; Bacillati; Cyanobacteriota. The record is from RNAcentral.